CACGACACGACAUCCCACCCUAGCAACCGCCAUGUCUCCACGGCAACAUCCUCCCCUGUCCUCUUCGGUGGCAUCAAUAGUAUUACAAGCAUAAUGGUCACUUGCACAGUAGCAUGUUUUCGAUUAGAUGACCAACUCAUACAAAGAUGGUUGGGGUACACACUGUAUUGAUAGGUGUGGAGGCAUCAUUCGGCUGUAGCCUAGUCUAUAGUGAGAUUAGCACGGGUGGGGUAGGCUACACAGUGACAGCGCACACACCCAUAGAUGUGGGUGGUUAUUAGGCGCAAAUUAGGAAGGAGCAGGACUCGAGAAAAUCUCGGUUGCAAUUCCAUUAGGACAAAUUAUUUCAUUGCUCUCGAGAAUAAACGGAGUAUACCACGCGCGAACCGAUUCUGGCCCCCGCUCCCUGGACAACCUCCUUCCCAGGCUCGCGCCAUACGUCCUCUUCGAAUACCUGCACAGCAGCCCGUUACCGUUCGUUCGGGAUGGAUCCCGCUGUUCUCAUCUUCCUGCUGUAUAUGAUGAUAGCUCAUGAGCUGGUCUGCGGCUGGUUGCAGUACCGGAGACAAGCUGCCAAGCCCCGCAAACGAGCCGGGCCGAUGUGGAGUAGCAGUGCCCGAGUUUGCCCUAGUAGCUGGCGGGUCAGUAGCCAGCCUUGCAGGACAGAUAGAGGACGAGACUGGAGGAGGGCUGCUGGGAAGAGUGGGCGGCGGAUUGUCAGAAAGGCCUGAGCUGGAGAGAGCAUCUGUUGAGCAGAACUUCAGACAAUUCCACAACCCCAGAGUGGAUUCUUGGACUGAAAGACCUCUUCUUGUCUUGAACUUGGAACUUUGACAGGUUUGAAGAGCUUGAUCUGCUGCAGCAUCUCUUUGCUGUGAUUGAGCAGCACAUUGUCCAUUGGGAUUUGGUAAACACAGCCACGGAGUCUAAACUCCGGAGAACAGUACAACAUGAGGAAAUGUCUGUGGAUGUGUGGAAACUUUGUCUAUUUAUUUGUUCAUCUAUAUUGUCAUAGUCCUAUUUUAUCAUGUUAUUUGGUGAUGUUUGUAUUCCAAAUCAGCUGUUAUCCUCCCUUCGGGAUCUGUAUUUUAGACCACACCUCCAAAAGAAUGCUAUAUAUUCCAUCAGAUCCAUCCAGGAAUUCUUAUCCCUGCCCAUACCAUAACCCCACCGCCACCAUGGGGCACUGUUCACAACAUUGACAUCAGCAAACUGCUAACCCAC
This 1224-nucleotide long non-coding RNA is filed under the name Salmo salar (Atlantic salmon). Its description in RNAcentral is "lncRNA (ENSSSAG00000086613.1)". The record is from RNAcentral. Lineage: Eukaryota; Metazoa; Chordata; Actinopteri; Salmoniformes; Salmonidae.